RNAcentral lists this ribosomal RNA (253 nucleotides) under uncultured bacterium. RNAcentral describes it as "partial 16S ribosomal RNA". It matches the Rfam family "Bacterial small subunit ribosomal RNA", at positions 524 to 776 of the family's 1533-position model. The record is from RNAcentral.
UACGUAGGGUGCAAGCGUUAAUCGGAAUUACUGGGCGUAAAGCGUGCGCAGGCGGUUUUGUAAGUCUGCCGUGAAAUCCCCGGGCUCAACCUGGGAAUUGCGAUGGAGACUGCAAGGCUAGAAUCUGGCAGAGGGGGGUAGAAUUCCACGUGUAGCAGUGAAAUGCGUAGAUAUGCGGAGGAACACCGAUGGCGAAGGCAAUCCCCUGGGCCUGCACUGACGCUCAUGCACGAAAGCGUGGGGAGCAAACAGG